Molecule: transfer RNA, 86 nt
Filed under: Candidatus Staskawiczbacteria bacterium RIFOXYA2_FULL_32_7
Lineage: Bacteria; Candidatus Staskawicziibacteriota
Also listed under: 3 other names
Description: tRNA-Ser
Rfam family: tRNA
About the family: Transfer RNA (tRNA) molecules are approximately 80 nucleotides in length. Their secondary structure includes four short double-helical elements and three loops (D, anti-codon, and T loops).
Source: RNAcentral
GGAGAGGUGGCUGAGCGGUUCAAAGCAGCAGGUUGCUAACCUGCGCCCUGUCAUGGGGCUCGUGGGUUCAAAUCCCACCCUCUCCG